Molecule: ribosomal RNA, 1020 nt
Filed under: Triticum aestivum (bread wheat)
Lineage: Eukaryota; Viridiplantae; Streptophyta; Magnoliopsida; Poales; Poaceae
Description: partial small subunit ribosomal RNA
Source: RNAcentral
AUGUUCUUUGAUGGUUCCAAGAUGCUGAAUGGUUCCGGUGCUGGGGUGGUACUGGUAUCCCCCCGAGGAGACAAGCUCAGAUAUGUUCUCCAGAUUCACUUUGAUUCCUCCAAUAAUGAAGCAGAAUAUGAAGCACUCUUGUAUGGGUUGCGUAUGGCCAUCUCACUUGGCGUCCGUCGCCUCAUGGUCUAUGGCAACUCAGAUUUGGUAGUCAAUCAAGUGAUGAAGGAGUGGGACGUCAGAAGCCCAACCAUGACUGGUUACUGCAACGCGGUGAGGAAGUUGGGAAAGAAGUUUGAGGGGUUAGAGCUCCAUCAUAUACCCCGACUGAAAAAUCAAGCAGCAGAUGAUUUAGCAAAGAUAGGCUCCAAGAGAGAAGCUAUUCCCAGUAAUGUGUUCCUGGAGCAUAUUCAUGCACCUUCAGUUCAAGAAGAUCCCUUCACUGAAGAGCCCCCGCAGCCUAAGAGUGCCACAGAUCCGACUGAAGUCGAGGUCCCAGCCGUGGUCGACUUGAUCAUGGAGGUGUUGGUCAUCAGUCCCGACUGGACGGUGCCAUACAUUUCAUAUAUCCUUAGGAAAGAGCUCCCAGAGGAUGAAGAAGAGGCUCGACAGAUCGUCCGUCGAUCCAAGGCCUUUACUGUAAUAAGAGGACAACUGUUCAGAGAAAGUGCAACUGGAGUCAGCCAGAAAUGCAUAACGCCAGAAGAAGGUCGAGUGAUCCUCCACGACAUCCAUUCAGGGACAUGUGGUCACCAUGCGUCCUCUCGGACCAUUGUGGCUAAAGCAUACCGAGCUGGAUUUUAUUGGCCACAAGCAAAUGAAAUGGCGAAAGAUAUAGUCGAUAGAUGUGAAGGCUGCCAGUUCUACUCCAAUAUGUCACACAAACCUGCAUCAACCCUGAAGACCAUUCCACUCGUCUGGCCCUUUGUUGUUUGGGGAUUGGACAUGGUUGGUCCACUGAAGACUGGUAGGAGUGGCUUCACUCACAUGCUUGUAGCAGUCGACAAGUUUACCAAAUGA